This 661-nucleotide ribosomal RNA is filed under the name uncultured Bacillus sp. RNAcentral describes it as "bacterial SSU rRNA". It matches the Rfam family "Bacterial small subunit ribosomal RNA", at positions 56 to 693 of the family's 1533-position model. Lineage: Bacteria; Bacillati; Bacillota; Bacilli; Caryophanales; Bacillaceae. The record is from RNAcentral.
UGCAAGUCGAGCGGACCGACGGGAGCUUGCUCCCUUAGGUCAGCGGCGGACGGGUGAGUAACACGUGGGUAACCUGCCUGUAAGACUGGGAUAACUCCGGGAAACCGGGGCUAAUACCGGAUGCUUGAUUGAACCGCAUGGUUCAAUCAUAAAAGGUGGCUUUUAGCUACCACUUGCAGAUGGACCCGCGGCGCAUUAGCUAGUUGGUGAGGUAACGGCUCACCAAGGCGACGAUGCGUAGCCGACCUGAGAGGGUGAUCGGCCACACUGGGACUGAGACACGGCCCAGACUCCUACGGGAGGCAGCAGUAGGGAAUCUUCCGCAAUGGACGAAAGUCUGACGGAGCAACGCCGCGUGAGUGAUGAAGGUUUUCGGAUCGUAAAACUCUGUUGUUAGGGAAGAACAAGUACCGUUCGAAUAGGGCGGUACCUUGACGGUACCUAACCAGAAAGCCACGGCUAACUACGUGCCAGCAGCCGCGGUAAUACGUAGGUGGCAAGCGUUGUCCGGAAUUAUUGGGCGUAAAGCGCGCGCAGGCGGUUUCUUAAGUCUGAUGUGAAAGCCCCCGGCUCAACCGGGGGAGGGUCAUUGGGAAACUGGGGGAACUUGGGGUGGCAGAAGAGGAGAGUGGAAUUCCACGUGUAGCGGUGAAAUGCGUAA